CGCUUAUUGCGCGGCGAUAACCUUACACACAUUGUCUAGUUUUUUUGAACUUUGCUUUGGGUGCAUCAGCCUAGCUGCGUGCCCAAAGGUCUAAACACAUUUUUUAAUGUUAAAACCUUUAACCAAUAGUCAUGAAAAUUUUUAACAAAAAUUAAAAUCUUCAAAACUUUCAACAACGGAUCUCUUGGUUCUCGCAACGAUGAAGAACGCAGCGAAAUGCGAUACGUAUUGUGAAUUGCAGAUUUUCGUGAAUCAUCGAAUCUUUGAACGCACAUUGCACCCUCUGGUAUUCCAGAGGGUAUGCCUGUUUGAGCGUCAUUUCUCUCUCAAACCUUCGGGUUUGGUAUUGAGUGAUACUCUGUCAAGGGUUAACUUGAAAUAUUGACUUAGCAAGAGUGUACUAAUAAGCAGUCUUUCUGAAAUAAUGUAUUAGGUUCUUCCAACUCGUUAUAUCAGCUAGGCAGGUUUAGAAGUAUUUUAGGCUCGGCUUAACAACAAUAAACUAAAAGUUUGACCUCAAAUCAGGUAGGACUACCCGCUGAACUUAAGCAUAUCAAUAAG
This 561-nucleotide ribosomal RNA is filed under the name Hansenula anomala. Its description in RNAcentral is "eukaryotic LSU rRNA". The stretch from base 165 to 318 matches the Rfam family "5.8S ribosomal RNA". The record is from RNAcentral. Lineage: Eukaryota; Fungi; Ascomycota; Saccharomycetes; Phaffomycetales; Wickerhamomycetaceae.